RNAcentral lists this ribosomal RNA (321 nucleotides) under Triticum aestivum (bread wheat). RNAcentral's name for it is "partial small subunit ribosomal RNA". The record is from RNAcentral. Lineage: Eukaryota; Viridiplantae; Streptophyta; Magnoliopsida; Poales; Poaceae.
AUGUACCCCUACUUCCACUACCAUCACGAGAACAACUACUUCCUCUACGAACUCGAACCGCUCGAGAAUGCUUCCUUGGAAGGUAUAACCACCGAGACGACGCCCGUGAACGAAUGUUGUGUGACGUUUGAGAUGCUCGUUGUUGCAUCGUGUCCUAGUUGUUCUUUGCGAGUUCCUCGUUGCCUUGCCGUCGACGUGUGGGAACCCGGUAUUCGGGAGCACCCCAUCUUCUUGCAUGACACGCUCCCGUCGCUUUUCCUUUUGCAUCGGUAUCUCAAUCGAGUUACCGAGAACCGGAAUGUUGCCGUGGCAUCACUUUAG